This 355-nucleotide ribosomal RNA is filed under the name uncultured bacterium. RNAcentral describes it as "bacterial SSU rRNA". It matches the Rfam family "Bacterial small subunit ribosomal RNA", at positions 28 to 377 of the family's 1533-position model. The record is from RNAcentral.
GACGAACGCUGGCGGCGCGCUUAACACAUGCAAGUCGAGCGACGAAAGGUCCUUCGGGACCCUGAAAGCGGCGAACGGGUGAGUAACACGUGGGUAACCAACCCUCGGUUCCGGGAUAGCCCGAGGAAACUCGGAUUAAUACCGGAUGGCCUCUAGAGCUCACGGGCUCGAGAGGAAAGGUAGCUUCGGCCUCCGACCGAGGACGGGCCCGCGGCCGAUUAGCUUGUUGGUGAGGCAACGGCUCACCAAGGCGACGAUCGGUAGCUGGUCUGAGAGGACGAUCAGCCACACUGGGACUGAGACACGGCCCAGACUCCUACGGGAGGCAGCAGUGGGGAAUCUUGCGCAAUGCGCG